GUCUCAGCAGUACAAUGGAUCAGCACGGCAGAUCGGAUAUCUGUAAGUGCGGAUUCAAGUCCCGCCUAAGGUU
RNAcentral lists this transfer RNA (73 nucleotides) under Dictyocaulus viviparus (bovine lungworm). It matches the Rfam family "tRNA". From Rfam's summary of the family: Transfer RNA (tRNA) molecules are approximately 80 nucleotides in length. Their secondary structure includes four short double-helical elements and three loops (D, anti-codon, and T loops). Further hydrogen bonds mediate the characteristic L-shaped molecular structure. tRNAs have two regions of fundamental functional importance: the anti-codon, which is responsible for specific mRNA codon recognition, and the 3' end, to which the tRNAs corresponding amino acid is attached (by aminoacyl-tRNA synthetases). tRNAs cope with the degeneracy of the genetic code in two manners: having more than one tRNA (with a specific anti-codon) for a particular amino acid; and 'wobble' base-pairing, i.e. permitting non-standard base-pairing at the 3rd anti-codon position. Lineage: Eukaryota; Metazoa; Nematoda; Chromadorea; Rhabditida; Metastrongylidae. The record is from Rfam by way of RNAcentral.